ACAUGCAAUUCAUCCACUAUUCCUUCGUUUCCACCGCCGAAGACAACCAUAAGUUCUUUGAUGGCCACAGCUCGGUGUCCGUGUCUGGGCCGGGGGACAGGACCAGACCAUCCCAGGACCCGCUUCCACCGCGGCUGCAGGACCGACACCCCGGAGCCCGGAACAGACAUGACUCUGUCGGCGGGAGAAAUAUUGCCCCGCCAUCUUUCGACGAUCGGCCUACUUCUACAGCUCCCACAAGAAAAAUGGCCGGGCGGUUUGCACAACAAAGCUUUACAGCGCUCAAAAACGUAAUAAUUUUGUUUUCUACUUACUUAUUUCGGUGCAGUGGUUGCGGAAACACGUACACGGUGUUUAUUAUUGCAAAAAUAAUUCAAAUUCAUUCGAUUUGUGCAGAAGUAUUUCCUCUCAUGCCUGCCUGGAAGCUGCCAUCUUCUUGACAACUAAAGGCGGAGGAAAAUGGAGAGUUGGCGUCACCCAAAUGCUCUAUGUUUGAAAACACACCAAGACAACACCGGGACUCCUGCAAUCAGACAUACUAAAACUUUUAACAAAUUACAGCAACUUGUAUCGUAUUGUAAAGGUUAUUGUCCCUUACUAAAGAUGGCGACGCUUGCACAGGAACCAAUUAAAAUUCAAUACAAUUUUGGGAGAACAGUAGACCUGCUUGUGUUUUUAGAGGCAUACUUUUGUUUGAUUCCAACCCGUUGUAGUUUAAAAAGAAUACAAUAAAAUAGGGUAAUAUUUCCAUUGUAGUUGGCGCAAUUUUACUCGGUUAACUUAGUGCAUCUCUGCGAUCAAACCAAUGGGCAACGCACAUAGUUAAUGCCACGCCCACAGUUCACAGCGCCCUCUACAGAUGGUUCUAACAUGGUCGUCAAGUAUGGCCAUAGACAUAAUAGACCAUAGACAUAAUAGACCAUAGACAUAAUGGAUUUAUUUUUUUGUUAUUAAUUUACUUAUCCUUUUGUCCAAAUUUUAUAUCCACAAAUGUAAAUAUUCCAAGCAGAAACCCAACUUUACAGAUUUUAAUAGUGAUACUCUUUGUAUAAAGAUUCUGGAAAGUUCUGAUAACAAAAAGUCUCUGAAAACUAUCAGUAUUUGUUCAAAAUACAAUAUAUUUGUAAAUGUAUAAUUGUACAAUUCUGUCAUACCCCCUGGCAUACUGUUUGUAUACAUUGUAUACUUAUUGCAAUAAAAUAUAUAUUUUUUAAAAACAUAGACAUAUUGGCAGUAAGGCAAGGGUG
Molecule: long non-coding RNA, 1247 nt
Filed under: Neogobius melanostomus (round goby)
Lineage: Eukaryota; Metazoa; Chordata; Actinopteri; Gobiiformes; Gobiidae
Description: lncRNA (ENSNMLG00000024247.1)
Source: RNAcentral